RNAcentral lists this ribosomal RNA (254 nucleotides) under uncultured bacterium. Its description in RNAcentral is "partial 16S ribosomal RNA". It matches the Rfam family "Bacterial small subunit ribosomal RNA", at positions 524 to 776 of the family's 1533-position model. The record is from RNAcentral.
UACGUAGGACCCAAGCGUUAUCCGGAAUUACUGGGCGUAAAGAGUUGCGUAGGUGGCAGAGUAAGUUAGUAGUGAAAGCGUGUGGCUCAACCAUACAUCCAUUACUAAAACUACUCAGCUAGAGUUUAGGAGAGGUACCUGGAAUUCCUAGUGUAGGAGUGAAAUCCGUAGAUAUUAGGAGGAACACCGAUGGCGUAAGCAGGGUACUGGCCUAUUACUGACACUAAGGCACGAAAGCGUGGGGAGCGAACGGG